RNA transcript from Pan troglodytes (chimpanzee), 2529 nucleotides. It is a transcript of the gene named proteasome 26S subunit, non-ATPase 9, with no coding region annotated. The transcript is spliced from 8 exons. The record is from RefSeq and is marked provisional. NCBI's taxonomy places the organism in Eukaryota, Metazoa, Chordata, Mammalia, Primates, Hominidae.
GACGGCUGUGGUGUUUUGGCGCAUGGGCGGAGCCGUAGUUACGGUCUACUGGGGCGUCGUCCCUAGCCCGGGAGCCGGGUCUCUGGAGUCGCGGCCCGAGGUUCACGAUGUCCGACGAGGAAGCGAGGCAGAGCGGAGGCUCCUCGCAGGCCGGCGCCGUGACUGUCAGCGACGUCCAGGAGCUGAUGCGGCGCAAGGAGGAGAUAGAAGCGCAGAUCAAGGCCAACUAUGACGUGCUGGAAAGCCAAAAAGGCAUUGGGAUGAACGAGCCGCUGGUGGACUGUGAGGGCUACCCCCGGUCAGACGUGGACCUGUACCAAGUCCGCACCGCCAGGCACAACAUCAUAUGCCUGCAGAAUGAUCACAAGGCAGUGAUGAAGCAGGUGGAGGAGGCCCUGCACCAGCUGCACGCUCGCGACAAGGAGAAGCAGGCCCGGGACAUGGCUGAGGCCCACAAAGAGGCCAUGAGCCGCAAACUGGGUCAGAGUGAGAGCCAGGGCCCUCCACAGGCCUUCGCCAAAGUGAACAGCAUCAGCCCCGGCUCCCCAGCCAGCAUCGCGGGUCUGCAAGCGGAUGAUGAGAUUGUGGAGUUCGGCUCUGUGAACACCCAGAACUUCCAGUCACUGCAUAACAUUGGCAGUGUGGUGCAGCACAGUGAGGGGGCUGGAGUGCAAUGGCGUGAUCUCAGCUCACUGCAACCUCCGCCUCCCAGAUUCAAGCGAUUCUCCUGCCUCAGCCUCCCAAGUAGCUGGGACUACAGAAAACUUCGCACAUUAGAGCAACACAGGUGUCCUUUUAGAAAAUAUUAUCGGCCGGGCGCGGUGGCUCACACCUGUAAUCCCAGCACUUUGGGAGGCUGAGAAGCCCCUGAAUGUGACAGUGAUCCGCAGGGGGGAAAAACACCAGCUUAGACUUGUUCCAACACGCUGGGCAGGAAAAGGACUGCUGGGCUGCAACAUUAUUCCUCUGCAAAGAUGAUUGUCCCUGGGGAACAGUAACAGGAAAGCAUCUUCCCUUGCCCUGGACUUGGGUCUAGGGAUUUCCAACUUGUCUUCUCUCCCUGAAGCAUAAGGAUCUGGAAGAGGCUUGUAACCUGAACUUCUGUGUGGUGGCAGUACUGUGGCCCACCAGUGUAAUCUCCCUGGAUUAAGGCAUUCUUAAAAACUUAUGCUUGGCCUCUUUCACAAAUUAGGCCACGGCCCUAAAUAGGAAUUCCCUGGAUUGUGGGCAAGUGGGCGGAAGUUAUUCUGGCAGGUAGUGGUGUGAUUAUUAUUAUUAUUUUUAAUAAAGAGUUUUACAGUGCUGAUAUGACCCUGUUGUCACCCCAGCUGAAUUUCUUAUGACCCUCCCAAACCAAAGCUCAGAUGGGGUCAGAAGAGCUUCAUAGAAAGUUGGGCAAAACAGGCUAGCAAUUGUGAAGUCAGGCUUUGACCAACAUAUUUCUUUGCACUGAGGCCUUGCUGCUGUGGAUACGGAAAUUGUUAAGUACUGUGCUUCCUCAGCAGCUGGGCUGUCAGGGCCAUAGUAGCUCCCUUUGGAGAACAGGGAAAGCCUGGAGGCUUCCCAGGUGGCCCAGCAUGGUGUAGUGUCAGCUUCCUCUUUAGGAACCCACCAGAGGGCAGCAAGCUCCUUUCACUUCGGUAGUAAGAACCCCUCUGUUUUUGUGUGUUUUUGUUUUUGUUUUCUGGAGACAAGGUCUUGCUUUGUCACCCAGGCUGGAGUGCAGUGUCGUGAUCAAGGUUCACUGAAGCCUUGACCCUGUGGGCACUGCCUCAGCCGCCCAAGUAUCUGGGACCACAGGCGUGCACCAUCAUGCAUAGCUAAUUUAUUUUUUGUAGAGACAGGGUCUCCCUGUGUUGACCAGGUUGGUCUCGAACUCCUGGGCUCAAGCAGUCCUCCUGCCUUGGCCUCCUAAAGUGCUGGGAUCACAGGCGUGAGCCACUGUGCCCAGCCCACUGCUAGUUUGACUUUUUAUAAUUGAACCUCCUGGCUAUGCCCUGAGAUCAGCGCUAUUUUGUAAACCGCUGAGGUAUGGAUAGGAACAAGUAGAUCAGACCUCUUGAAAAUGCUUAUUCUUCCUCCCUUUUAUUUUUUGUCUCUUUUAAGAUGGUAAAAUGGUUCUCAGGGAUUCCUGCCGAUGCUUUGAAUUAUUUUUUCCUCUCCAUGGUAUCAGUGUUCAUUUCCCCAGUUCUUGCACACCGCUUUCUGUUUUGGCAGUUCUGCCAGGCAAGCCCUGUGUUCCUUGGGCCUGGUUUUGCUGUGGUUGGAUACAGAUACCAGCUUGCCUUGAUGGGAUUGGUAUUGCUGUGUGCUUCCAGCCACAGGUUCUCACAGUCAAUUCCAAAGCCCUCCUAUUGGGCGAAUUCCCUCAAACUCUAUUUGACCUGACAGUCAUACGUAUUCCCCUCUGGUAGCCACAGACAUGCUGUGUUUACCAAUGUUUGCUGUUUAAAUUGCAUGUUCUAAUUCCACGUAUUUUCCAGUCUCUUUAUAAAGUCUCAGACUAUAAUAAACACAGCUUGCCCAGUU